This 22692-nucleotide long non-coding RNA is filed under the name Fragaria vesca (wild strawberry). Its description in RNAcentral is "long non-coding RNA (FVES_LNC001656)". Lineage: Eukaryota; Viridiplantae; Streptophyta; Magnoliopsida; Rosales; Rosaceae. The record is from RNAcentral.
ACAAUCCACCCCCCUUCGGGAGUCCGACGCCCUCGUCGGCACACUCGCACCACACGGCAGAGUGGCUCUGAUACCAUUUGUCACACCCCAGGACCCAUUCCGCCGUAACACGAUAUUGUCCGCUUUGGGCCCACCGGCCCUCACGGUUUUGUUUCCGGCAGCUCAGGAGCAGCUUCCUAGUAGGUCACCCAUCUUGGGAUUGCUCUAGCAUCAACAUGCUUAACCUCGGAGUACCCAUCCCCUCCGAAGCCGCUGAGCCACCAAAAGGCCUCGUGUUAGAUUGGAGGUGGGCAUGUAUAUAUACAGCACAUAACCCCUCUCCGUUUGGCCGAUGUGGGAUAUUACAAUAAAAAAUUUGGACCAUUUCUAGAUUUAUGCGUGUCAUCCUUGCGCAGGGGCCAUGCUAAUCUUCUCUAUAUCGUUCCAAUUUUAUCGGAUGUCCACGUAACACGAUAUUGUCCGCUUUGGGCCCACCGGCCCCCACGGUUUUGUUUCCGGCAGCUCAGGAGCAGCUUCCCAGUAGGUCACCCAUCCUGGGAUUGCUCUAGCAUCAUCAUGCUUAACCUCAGAGUACCCAUCCCCUCCGAAGCCGCUGAGCCACCAAAAGGCCUCGUGUUAGAUUGAAGUUGGGCAUGUACAUAUACAGCACAUAACCCCUCUCUGUUUGGCCGAUAUGGGAUAUUACAGUUUAAUUCAUAUAAGGGGUAUGGACACAUAUUUAUACACCCGUCUGUCCACCUUGAUGGCGUAGUGUAGCACCGCAUUAAGGCGUGACGUGAGCGUUGGACGCGAGCGUAGUAGCCCUAUAUAGACCCAUGAAUUUAUAUAGGGAGUAUGGACGAGUGUAAAUACAUACAUAUAUUAUAGAGUCUGAGAGGCUCGAUAUUUUAUGAGAUAAAAGUUUUAUCGCUUGCGGCAUGCAUUCGAUUUUUCCUUAGAAAUUAAUUUGGGGAAACAUAAAUAUUUUAUUUAUUAUUUUAUUUUUUGUCCACUCACUCUAACGUUAUUAAAUGUUUUCCCCUGGGCCCUUCGUUUUAAAUUGCCCAGUCUGCAGAGUUCGGGUUGGAUCUAGUAGGAGGGGAGGCAUAGUCACCCGCAUUUCUGCCAGUUUUCGUUAGUAGGUUACUUGUUCAACCUACUCGUGUUUUCUUGCUUCCGCUAGUGUUUAGUAGCUCUGAAUACUUUGGGAUUAUUGUAUAUUAUGUGUAGAAUUUCUGAAGGAUAAUUAUGUGAUGUUUGGAAGUGCUAAAUUAAGAGUGUAAUUUGGAAUUUUCGAGUUAGGGUUGUCUAUCUGCAAGGGAGAUUUUCUUAAUCUUUUCAGUAAAUUUUCCUUGGAGGUGGUCCUCGCACGACUUACUCCGGGUUUUAGGGUGAAAUUUGGGGUGGGUCGUGUCAUUGACUAUGCCUUUUCUCCAUGUACGCCCGACCUCAACUAUACUAACCUGCAUACUAGGCAUUUUUGAAACGAAGGGCCCAAGGGAAAACAUUUGAAAUUGUUAGAGUGAGUGGACAAAAAUGAAUUUAAUGAAAAAUGUCACGCCCCGGUUCUUAAGUUAUUUUACGGUUAUUUACUUUAGUAUUAUUUUGGUCUUUUACCGUGUUAAGUAACCGGUUACCCCUUAAGGACCCUAAAGUUGACUUUCUUUUCCGUUUGGAUUUUGGGGAAACUUUCUUCAUGAAAGUUGUAGAGGACGUUAAUACGAGUUCGUAGACAUGCUAUGUGUUAAAAUCGGAGUUAGCAUGAAAAAGUUAUUAUUAAAAGAGUAAAUUUUGAGUUAGAAAAGGGGCGUAAUUAUUAAUGGGUAUUAUUUUUUGGUCGGGUUUAUAGCUGGGCCGGCUGUGGAGAAGCCCAAAACCCUCACCCCUCAUUUCCUCUCUCUCCCUCUCUCCCUCACCCGUCACUUUCUCUCCCUCCCUCACCCGUGCAACUUGACCGCCGGAGAAGAGCCUCUGUCCGCUGCCGUCCGGCCGCCAGGGACCGCCGGACCACCUCUACCUGGACCCCCCGCCACCUCCUCUCCCUCCCCGGCCUAGCCCCCGAGCCGUUAGCCCGCUGGAAGAGGAGAAAACCCGCCGGAGACGCCGGGAAGCUUUUCGUCGGAAAUCCCACCUUCGGCCGCCAUAAGUCGAAAUCUUUAACUCAUCUUGUAGCCCUCAUCAAGGUGAGUAAUCCCUCAAAAGGAAUUAGUCUAUCUCGUUGUGGUUAUAGAGAAAUGUAUAAUUGAAGUUUUAGGGAUUUAUGGAUGUUUUGGUUCGAUUGCCCUAGUUAGCCUUAGAAAUGGACUAAGUGCUAGUUAUGAAUGUUGUUGAGCAUGAUGAGAGGAAUAUUCUGUGAAAAUUUGAGAAGUAUUGGAGGUCUCCGGAAAACGGCUGCCGGCCGCCGCCACCGGCAGGGCAGCUGCCGCCGCCGCCCCUUAAGGGCAGUUUUUCCUGUUUUUGAGAUGGUUUUAAUAAGAGGAGUUUAUUGAAAUAUAGUUUGGAAUUUUUGGAUGAGUUUUGGUUUGGUUUGGAAUUUUUCGGAGAUUGGAGAAAAGGCCGGUUAUUAGAAUGAAAAUCCGGCCGUUGGAUUUCCUUGGUAUUUAUUAUAGAAUGUUAGAAUUGAUGAAUUAAGGUUGUGGUGGAGUUUGGUGUGAAUCCGGCAAGUUUAACCCUAUUAAGAGUAGAGGGUUAAACGGAGGAGAGUUAGAUAUUUUAAUUCACGUAUUUAUUUUCUAGAAUUGAAGUUUGGUUCUAAGCAUGGUUGUUGUACCAGGAUGCGAAGGGAACCUCGCUUGAGUGGCGUUGCGGUUAUCGUCGGGCUUAUGCCCAAAUUUCUGAGUGGACAUUUUGGUUUUAAAAAUAAAUAUGCAUGCAAGAUUUUAUAAUCUAUCAUUUUAUUUUCCGAGCAUAUAAUAUAAUUUUUCAGUUCAUGAGAUGAGCUUGAAAAUUAUUUGAGUUUGGUGCAUUUAUUAAGUGUUGGUCAUGAUUUAUGGAGUUGAGCUCGGAUUAUUAUUUUGAUAUUUGAGUUUGGAUAUUUUUAUAAAUUCCGGAUUUCAUUAAAUGGUUUUAAUGGUGGAUUUUGAGAUUUAUAUAAGAUUUCCGAAAAUGGGAUUUUCGGUAGUUUCCUAUUUUUAAUUCUCGAAAUUAUUGGUGGAAUAUCGAUCUUGACUUUGAGUUUUAUAAAUGAUUACCGAAAAUGGGAUUGUCGGUAGUUCUCCUCAUAAUUUAAUUGUUCAUUUGAGGCAUAAUGAUUUUGACUUGGAGAAUAUUUUAGCGAGUAUUUCGGGCGUAGAUACUAUUAUUUAUGAUUCAUAUUUGUUAUUGAAAUCUCGCUUAUAUUUAUAAAUUGGAGAAUAUUUUGACGUGUGAGACACGUCAUUGAGUUGUGUUAUGAUUUCUUCUGAUGAUUUUCAUGUACGGUUGGGAACCGUACCAUUCGUUUGGUCUUGGGGGAAGUUUAAUGGAUUUAAGUGACUUCGUAUGUUUUAGUCACCAUAUUAUAGGGUCGUUUAUCUUAAUUAUUGCUAGCUAAUCUUAUUGGCGGUCCUCAUCAUAUGUGAGUCGCUAUUAUAGCCUUAUUAGCGGUCUUCUUCAUAUGUGAGUAGAGCGCUUAGCAUGGGACGCUAUUAUAGCUUGGGAGGCAACCGAUCGGUAUUUAUAUUUAUUAGUUAGCUAGCCUUAUUAGCGGUCCUCAUCAUAUGUGAGUUGAGCACUUAGCGUGGGACGCUAUUAUAGCCUUAUUUAGUGGUCCUCAUCAUAUGUGAGUUGAGCGUUUAGUGUGGGACGCUAUUAUAGCCUAGGAGGCAUCGACCUGAGCCUGGGAGGCUCCUUUUUCAUGGUGAUAACUCUUCCCCUAUUUUAUUCUUCUCAAUAAUAUAUUUGAUUAACCAGCGGGGCUGGUUUAUCUCCUCUUAUGAGAUUUAUGUUUUAACUAACCAGCGGGGCUGGUUUGUCCUUUAUUAAGUGAUUUUGGAUUUAAAGUUUUAAGGACGUUUAAGUUGCAUGUUGUUAAGUUUUAAAAGUUGAAAAGUGGGAAAGUAUAUAAGUUUUAUAAUUGUUAAGUUACUGAAUUUAUUUUCGUCCACUCACUCUAACAUUUUUAAAUUAUUUUCCCCUAGGCCAUUUGGUUUAUAAAUGCCCAGUUUGCAGGCUAAGUUAUUUGAGGACGAGCGUACAUGGAGUCGAGGCAUAGUCAGAGGCUGUUUCCGCUUAUUCAUUUUCAUUGUUUUCAUUCAUCAUUAGAUAUGCUCUGAAAGUCCAAUAAUAGCUUAUUAAAUGUCUUUGUUGUUGAUUGUGGAAUUAUUAUUAGAUGAGAAAUUGUUAUUGGGAGUUUUGAUGAACUUGGGGAGCAUGAAGGCUCCAGGAGACGAGGAUGGAUGUUUGUUUAUAGAAGUGUUAAGUUGGAUUUUUCAGGAAAGGGUUGUCCAUUUUCAAGGAAGGUUAUGCCGAAUUUUCGGUAAAUUUUCCUUGAAGGUGGACCCUGCAGGAUUUACCUCGGGUUUCAGGAUGAAAUUCGGGGUGGGUCCUGACAAAAAAUAUUUACGCUUUCCUAGUUUAAAUUUCCAUAGAAAAUAUACUGCAUGCGACAGCUCAAAAGCUCUCAACUCAUCAAUUGGCAAUUACAUGACUAGCUCCGGCUAGUCUCCAAACUUAAUAAAAUAAAGCCUCUCAGGCUAAAAUAAUAUAUAUAUAUAUAUAUAUAUGUAUUUACACUCGUCAUACUCUUUGUACGAAUUCCAUGAAGGAAUAAGAAAAAUAGAAAUUCAUACAAGGCUACUACGCUUGUGUCUAACAUUCACGUCACACCGUAAUUGGAUUUUACCUCAUUAUGGCGGAAAAGCACGAGUGUAUAUAUACGUGCAUAUUCCCUAUAUAAAUUACUAAAUUUAUAUAGGGCUAUGACGAUUGUGUCUAACGCUCACGUCACACCAUAAUAGAAUUUUACCUCAUUAUGGCGGAAAAGCACGUAUAGCUAGCUAGCAUUUAUUUAUAUGCAUACUAUCCUCAUAAUCAUCCAUAUACAUAUGCACCGAAAAUCUCAUUUUCAGUAACUCUCCAGAAAGAAUGAAAAUUGCCAAUUAUAAAAGACGCAAUAAAUAUAUGACUCCACCGAAAAUCUCAUUUUCGGUAACUUUCCAAAUAGCGAAGUUAACAAAUAAAAUAAGAGCAUUUACUUCCAAAAAUAACUUCGCGAAAAUAAACAAUUCCACAAAUUGAUAUUCAAUAAAAUCACCGCAUGCUUAUAAUUUAAAACGAACGUCCACUCACAACUUUAGGGAUAAGCCCGACGAUAUCCAAUUUGCUACUUAAGUGAGGUCUCCUCGAAUCUUGGCACAAUAACCAUGCUUAGGACCAAACUUCAAUUUCAGAAAAAAUAAUUCUUAAAUAUAUCACCCAAAACUCUUCCGCCUAGUCCACUACCCUUUCUAGGGUUAAGCUUAUUGGAUUGACGCCAAACUCCACCCAAAGCCUCAAUUCAUUCAUUUCAACAUUCUAAAACAAUAAUAAGGGAAAUCCAACGGUCAGAUUCUACCCCAUUAACCGCCAAAUUCACCAAUCUUUCAAAAAUCUCAAACCUAUCCAAAACUCCUCCAAAAAUUCCAAACUUCACAUCAUUAAACUCCCCUUAAUAUUACACAUUUAAAACCAUGAAAAUCCCCCUAGGGUCGUCUGCUCCGUCGGCAGCAGCGGCCGGCGACUGACUCUGGAGACCCCCAAUGCCUACUAAAUUUUAACAGCUUCAUCCUCUCAACACGCUCUACAACUUUCCUAACUAGCACCAAGACCAAUUUCAAGCUUAACUAGGCCAAUCGAACAAAAACUUACAAUAAAACCCUAGAACUUCAAACACUUGAAUCUCCUUACCUAGGCCAAGAGGGAGUGAAACCUUUGGAGGGAUGAAUGCACGGGAGAAGAGCUUCCUUUUGAGCUAAGUAGCUUCGGCUAUGGCAGCCGGAGGAGGAAGUUCCGGCGACGGAACACCACGGACAGCCCGAGCUUCCAAGCGCGAUUUCUCUUUCACAGCGGCGCUAGGGAGGCUGCCACCGGUCCAAGAAGGAAGAGGAGAUGAUGGCCGACCGUUUGUGACCGGUACGGUGACCUACGGUGGCCGAACGACAGCGGAUUGACGACGGGAAAAUCCGGUAGGAAAGAGGGAGGGCGUCGGGAGGAAAGAGAGAGAGAAGAGAGAAGAAAAGUGUUAGGCUUUUCCCAACCGGUUUCUACCGAAACCAAAUAUAAACCCAACUCCAAAAUAACACCACCAAAAUAAUACCCUAAUAAAAAUUACCUUUUUACUAGCUAAAAUUUACUAUUUUACCGUCAUCAAAUAUUUCUUCUACGAAUCAUUCCUCCGAAAAAAUCGCUCCUCAAAACCCCUCUAGGGACCUUUGAAACUAUAAACUCAUUUAUGAAGACGGUAAAACUCUUAUUAAUACCAAGCUAGUAAAUAAGGUAAAAAUUUAAGAGUCGGGAUGUGACAUGUCUUGUCCGGACCCGUCCCGGAUUUCACCUUGAAACUCGAAGUAAAUCCUGUGGAGUCCACCUCUGAGGAAAAUUUACCGAAAAUUCGGCAUAACCUCCCUUAAAAAUAGACAACCCUUCCUAAAUAAAAACACCUGCAAACACUUCUAAAAGUUCCAACUCCAACCUUAUAACUCCUGGAGCCUUCGUGCUCCCCAAAACACAACAUCUCCCAAUUUAUUUACUAACUUUAACACUUAAAAUCUCACAACCAACAAUCACAGUUCAGAGCAACUCUAUUAGAGGAGAAAAGAACUAGAAAUAUAGAAAUGAGCAGAAGCUAUACUAUUAACUAUGCCUCUUCUCCAUGUACGCUGGACCUCAAUUAUGCUAACCUGCAUACUGGGCAUUUUUAAAAUAAAGGCCCAGGGGAAAACAUUUGCAAACGUUACAGUGAGUGGACAAAAAUGAAUUCAAUAAAAAUUAUUUAUGCAUUCCCAAUUUAAUUUUCAUAGAAAAUAUGCUGCAUGCGACAGCUCAAAGCUUUCUACUCACAAACUGGCAAAUACAUGACUAGCUCCGGCCAGUCUCCAAAACUCAAUAAAAUGGAGCCUCUCAGGCUAAACUAUAUAUAAAUAUAUAUGUGUAUGUAUUUACACUCGUCAGACUCCUUGUACGAAUUCUAUGAAUAAAAUAGAAAAAUAGAAAUUCAUACAAGGCUACUACGCUUGGGUCUAACGAUCACGUCACACCAUAACGGAAUUUUACCUCAUUAUGGCGGAAAAGCACGAGUGUUUAUACGUGUAGACUCCCUAUAUGAAAACCUAUAUGAAUCGGAUAAGAAAGUAGUUUUCAUAUAGGGCUAUGAUGCUUGUGUCCAACACUCACGUCACGCCGUAAUAGAAUUUUACCUCAUUAUGAUGGACCAAGCACGUAUGGCUAGCUAGCAUUUAUAUACAUACUAUACUCAUAAACAUCCAAUAUACAUAUCCACCGAAAAUCUCAUUUUCGGUAACUCUCCAAAAGAUGAAAAUUGCCAAAUAUCAAAAAAAGCAAUAAAUUUCAGCAGAAGAAUAACUGAUCAACAAUAGAAUGCAUCGCAUGCUUUUAAUUAAAACAAAAGUUCACUCACAGUGAUUCUGUUGCAUUUGCUGUCAAGACAAGACAACGAAGACGAGCUCGGAAAAUCCUCCUAUUCUUUUUCGAUUUAACCCCCUUCUUUCACUUCUAAGAAUGCACAGUAAAGUCCCUAAUAAAAACUAAAGGGUAAGAGAACAAUAUAACCAACUCCCCUUCAUAACCAUUGAAACCAAUUCUCUUAUAUCCUUUUAAUUAAACAAACACACACAUGACUCCCAAAACAAUAAUACCCUUAACUACCAUUUAACUUAGGAGAUUCACCUCUCGGUCAAAAUGGCAAAUGCACCCAAAAUACUCUUUGCAUUCAGAAGUUUUCAUUGUGCACCCAAACCUUUCCUCUAGUCCAAGCCUACAUGCAACCCCACAAUUCCAUAAUUAUAUUCAAAACUCACAACACAAUUCCGAAUUCAAUAGCCGAGAAUUAAAACCUUCUCACCUUGCGGUUUCAAAAGAUUAACACACGGUGCUCCUCCAAUUACUCUUUGCACCCAAAGUGGAAAUUAGCAUCCAACACCAAUCUUCAUUUGCUACACUGCCCUCCACCAAAACUAAACCCAAUAAUAACAUUAACUCCAUCUCCCUAUCCAACACCAAUCUUUCUAACUGUUAAUUUGCUGCCACCUAUUAAUGUAAAAACACUUGAAGUUUAUCUUCCAGUGCCAGUAGUUGUUUUUAAACUUGAUGCCCAAGUUUAAGCUGCUCACUCGGCAGCUAUUUGCAACCCACAAGUCUGAUUGAGGUUUUCAGACUUUCACUUGUGAUUGGCUGCAUGUAGUCAUGUGUUAGGCAUAAGCUAGCAAGUAGGUGAACCAGCAUUUCAAAUAAGACAAAGCAGCAAUCCAAAUUAUUGUUAUUAUUAUUAUUAUUAUUUUUUUUUUAAGUUUGGGGUUUCACAGAACGUCACGGGGUUAAGACUUAACAUGGAUCUCCUGGAAGAGCGCCGCGACAGGGUACACCUCAGGAAUGUCAACUACAAACAAAAGAUUGCUCAACACUACACCAAGAAAGUUGUUCCCCGCCCCCUAAAGGUAGGCGAUUGGGUUAUGAAGGAAGUCAUUCCCCACCCCACUGGACUCAAAUCAAAGUGGGAAGGCCCUCUCGAGAUAGUCAAUGCCUCAGGACCAGCUACAUUCUAUCUCCGGGACACUGAUGGCUGAGUACUACCCCGCACCUGGAACGCUCUCCACCUCCACCUCUACCCCAUUUAAAUUAACAGACCCGGCAUAGUAGCUAGUACUUCAUUAUUGUGUACUUCAACCCGUUAGUGGCUCACAUUAAGUGUACACCUUGCCCAUUAGCGGCCUACCCUAAAUGAAGAUGUUAUGUUUUUUAUCAUUUUUAUAACAUACCGUAUCAAGAACACGAAACAACAAAGCAAACAGUAGUCCACAAACAAAAGCAUUCAUUAAAACAAAUAAGAAUCAACAUGGACUCCUAAGCAAUGCAUAAAAAACAAAUUGUUCAGAUGGCUAACAUUGUUUUACAAGCAAACAAAAGAAAGCAAAUAAACCUAACAAUAACAGCAAAUUACAAAGCAUCAUCAUUUCUCCCCAGAGGACGCGCCACUUGACUUAUUCACGCUUCUGCCACUCCUUGAACCGCUACCACACCCACGACUGUGGCUGAUAUUCACCGACACCCUCUGUCCAUAAGCAUGCUUAGAGCGGUCACGUGACGUUGGUGGAGGCCUCACUGAAACAUUAGGGCGCACCAGGGAACUCACUUGUUGCACCUCAGUGAUAGGGGACUUGCUCGCUGAGGUCUUUUGCACUUCAGAACGCGGUGGCGCCACAAGUCUAGGUGCUUGAGGGAUAGUUGGUUCAAUAACAGAGGAUGUGACCUGAGAUACCACCACUUGAGCAGAAGGGGAUCCCUCAGGACGCGAAGCCCUUAGUGGAGAAGCAACGAUCACCGCAAGUGGCUGAGGCGUACCCACAGUAGGAACUUCUUUUGGCACGGCAGAGGAUGUAGCGCGCUAGGCCUCAUGCUGCUUAGCCAGAGAUCAAGAGAUCUCAGCUUGCUUCCUUUGCUCUGAGGUCAUCUGUUCCCAAGCCUUCUUCGCCACAUCCCUCUCGGCAUACCACUUGCGGAUGGCCGCUUCAUUUAUCCAGCCAAUUUGGCACCAGUCUUGCUUAGCUCAUCUUGUCCCCGGUUAUAAGCGCUCCUCAGUUGCUGCUUACACACUUCACUCUCCCGAAACACCCUCUCCCCAGCCCCAGCAGCCCUUGCACACUUCAGCUUCCACACUCUCUCUUACUUCGCCAGGGCUUGCGUUAACCUCGCCACCUCAGCUUCCAGAGACACCGCCUUGGCAAUGGCCACCUCCCCAGCCUCCACCUGCUUGUUUUUCUCCUGCACAGCUUCCUUCAACUCAGCCACCUCCUUCCCAGAUGCAGCAGCCUGAUCUCGGAAGAUAGCAACAUCUUGCUCCAGACGCUGCGAGAGGGCUCGGUUAUUCUCUUCCGCCUCCCUCAACUGCUGGCAUUUAGCCUCGGCAUCCCCCUGCAAGUGAGCAACAACCCUCUCACUUGCAGCAUACAUCAGCAGCGUCGCCUGCAGACAGCACCAAAAUGUAAGCAAAAAGGCAGGGAACUAAAGGACAAAAUGACCAUUGUGCACACUUACCCGAGUUAGUUUCUCCUUGGCAAGAGCUACACAAGCUAGAGGAUCAAUCUCCUCCAUGCAUGGAUGUCACGAGAGCGGUGACACAUGUCAUAUGCCAUCUGAGCUAGGGAAGGCUGCACCUCCCCGGUCCCCUCUAGAGCUUGGGUGAUCUCGGCCAGGCUCCCCAAGCUCUUGGAACGCCCCUCCUUACGGGACUUCUUUGGUUGGCCUUCACGUGACGACUCGACCCUUUCUUUCCUCUUUCGGGUCCUUGUCAUGACAACCUCUUCUUACCCUUGCCCAAUGGGUUCCACCUCCUUCACCACAACAUCCUCGCCACCAGUUUGGGGCUCACCCACAUUACCCAAAGACGUAUCUUCCACUCCUACUGGCUCCGCAUAAGCUCUUCCUCCACCGGAACCUGCUCAUGAUAGUCCCCGUGGUCGCCACCCUCAGUGUCCGUUUCCUCGUCAUUCACCUCUUGAUCACCCAAGCCCAUAUAUUGCUUCUGCCACCAAGGGAGGCAAAUAAGCAUAAUCCUCGUCCGCCAGCUUCAACCUCAAAAAAUCAUCCUCACCCUCAUCCAGCUCCACCUCUUUCCUCUCGCUAGUCUCCAAGUCGAUAUCGUACCGCUUGACAUGAUCAACCUUGGCACGUAACCCAUCCAGUACGUCCUCAUCCGACACCUUGUCAUAAGGACCUUCCUUCUUCCGCGACCCACCGUCCCGAGGCAUUGUCACUACACCAAACAAAAGAUGAGGAUCAAGUAGAGACCAGAAAGCAUAACCGAAAUGACUAUAUAUGCCAAGGCAGCAUAUCCGAUACGAGCUCCUAGACUCGAAUGCCCACAGCACCCGGCGUAUUCGACGCUCCAUCAGCUCGGUUAAUUUAUACUCUUGGGGCAUGACUUGUAUACAAUUCAUGCAAGCGAACGUAUCGUUGUCAAGAUAGGGAAGUAUUUGUGCCCAAGUUAUCGUACCAUGGGGAUUAGUGGCUAACCCACAAUCCUAAGCUAAUCGGAACAAAAGUCACUAAGCAAACAAAGAAAAAGAAAAAAAAUACUACUCUAAAGCACCAAGCCUUAGCAAUGCUCGGCCUCAGUUAUCACCAAAGCCUAAUCAAUACUAAAUGCCUAGUGAUGGGUAAUUACAAUGAGUCGAUAUAUAAAAUGGAGAUUGAAUGGGGAAUUAACUAAAUUGACGAAAAACUAAAUAAAAAUAAACUACUAACUAAUGAACUAGAGAAUGAUGAGAACAUGGGAGUGUCGGGUGAUUCACACUAACUCAUAUGCAAACAUCGAUACCAAUUUCACAAAUGCAUAUCCUAUUGUAUCAAAUCCCGUAUCUAAUACCGGUUAAGGCUACUAGACCAAUUAUCCUUUCGGUGUAUCGAUUAUGCCGGUUAAGGCCACAAUCAACUCUCUAACAUGGGCAUUACAUCGGUUAAGGCCGUAACAUCCAAAUUAGAGGCCUAGAGUGCAAGAUAAUAGAGACCCAAGCAAGCUUAGCUACAAUCAAGCUAGCUAAUGGUUACCACACUUCAAAUCCUAGAUGCACAAGACUAAUAAGUUGUCAAUUUAUCAAUCUAUCCAUCAAAUUGUCCACAACAUAAUCUCAAAGGGUGACAAAACCUAGAAACAUAUUUCUAAGGACCAACACAUUCAGAUUCAAAGCAUACACAAUGUAAAUUGCAUUUAUAUCAAUCAAAGUACCAACAUUAUACAAAAUGAGUUUAGGGCUUCAAUACCCUAACUCCCAAAAUUAAAUCACUCACAACCCAUAGUCAAAUAGAUCAUCAAUAGCAUAUAAGUUAAAUAGCUAUCAUUCUAGCAUUGGUAUGGCGCCCUUUGAGGCUCUUUAUGGGAGGCAGUGUCGUACGCCUUUGUGUUGGAAUGAAGUAGGGGAAAAAGAGCUUUGUGGCCCAGAGUUAAUCCAUGUUACGAAUGAGAAGAUUAAAGUGGUUAGAGAUAGACUCAAGACUGCUCAGAGUAGGCAGAAGAGUUAUGCGGAUGUCCGUAGGAGAGAUCUUGAAUUUCAAGUGGGUGAUUGGGUGUUCCUGAAAUUAUCUCCUUGGAAAGGGGUUGUGCGUUUCGGUAAGCGUGGGAAGCUUAGUCCGAGGUAUAUUGGCCCUUAUGAGAUUAUAGAGCGAGUUGGCUCACUUGCUUAUCGAUUAGCUUUGCCUCCAGAGUUAUCCCGGAUACAUAAUGUGUUUCAUGUAUCCAUGCUUCGCAAAUAUAUUGCCGAUCCUUCUCAUGUGCUGCAAGAGCAGCCGAUCAGUUUAACGAGAGAUUUGACCUAUGAAGAGGAACCGGUUCAGAUUCUCGACCGAAAGGAGCAAGUGCUUAGGAAUAAGACAAUCCCGCUUGUCAAGGUUCUGUGGAGAAGUCAUCAAGUAGAAGAAGCUACUUGGGAAUCAGAGGAGCAAAUGAUGCAGCAGUAUCCGUAUCUCUUCGGAUGACAUGUAUGUUAAUUUCGAGGACGAAAUUUUUAUAAGGAGGGGAGAAUUGUCACAUCCCGACCCUUAUAUUUUUACCUUAUUUACUAGCGUGAUUAUUAUAAGAAUUUUACCGUCCCAGUCAUGGAGUAAAUAGUUUAAUUGGUCCCUAGAGGGGUUUCGGGGACGAUUAUGUGCGGAGGAUAAUUCGUAUGGGGAAAAUACGACGACGGUAAAAAUAGUAAAUUUUAGCUAGUAAAAGGUAAUUUUUAUUCGGGUAUUAUUUUUCGGGGUGUUUUUAUUUUUGGAAGUUUGGGUUAAGUGUUGUGGACUGGGUUGGGGUGAGGCCCAAAACCCUUUUUCUCUUCUCCCUCUCUCCCGAUUUUCUCUCCUCCCACCCGGUUUUCCCCUCUCUACACCCAGAAGAAUUUCCGGCCGUCCUUCCGCCGCCGUCCGACCUCCGUUCGCCGCCGGACCGGUCCCGUUCGGUCGGUCUCCCUCCCAGCAACAUUUCUAGACCGGUGAGAGGAGCCCUAGCUCCGCCGUGAGAGAGCGGUGCCACCCGAAAGCUCCGACUGCCGAAUCGGUUUUCUCGCCGGAACUUCCUCCUCCGGCCACCAAUCCGGGCAAGCUUGGUACGGUUUUGUAGCCCUCCUCCCGUGCAACAACCCCUCCAAACAGCUCCCUCCCUCUUGAGCUAGGUAAGGAGAAAUUUGAGGUGGAAGUUUUAUGGUGUUUAAGUUGUUUUCGUUCGAUUAGCCUAGUUAGGCUUGGAAUUGGGUGAUGUGUUAGUCAUGAAAGUUGUAGAGGAGAUUGAGAGGAAGAUUCUGUUAAAAUUUGGUAGCAUUUGCAGGUUGCCGGAAAACGGCUGCCGGCCGCCGCUGCCGGCGCCGGCGCCGGUUAGGAGAUUUUUAGGGUUUUAAAUGUGGAAUAUUAAGAGGAGUAUAUUGGUGUGAUUUAUGGAAUUUUUGGAUGAGAUUUGGUUAGGUUUGUGAAUUUCCGAAGUUUGGUAUUUUUGGCGGUUAAUUAAUGUAGAAUCCGGCCGUAGGAUUUAAGUCGUAUUUUGGAGAGGUUGUAUUUACGACUGUUGAGUAUGAUAUUUAAGUUCGGAUCGUUCCGAUGUAAGAAUAUCGAAGUUAGGCAAUGAUGAGCGUAAUUAUGGCUCUCGGGUAAUUUUGCCUAUUUUGAUUAAAUAUUGGAUUUUUUUGGUUGGGAAUUAAUAUUAUAUUUGGAACAGGACGUGAGGAGGCUCGAGCAGACGAGACCCCAGAUCGGCAUCAGGCUUAGGCCUAAUUUGUGAGUGGACGUUUAUUUUAAAUAAAUGCGUGCUAAAGUUCACGAUUGAAUAAUUAAUGUCGUGGAGUAUUUUGACGUCAUUUUAAUUUUUGACGAUUUUUAUUUCUCGCGGAGAGAUACCGAAAAUGGGAUUUUCGGUGGAUAUAAAUAUGUAUUUAUGAGAGAGUAUGUAUAUAAAAUGCUAGCUAGCCAUAUGUGUCUGUCCACCUUAAUGGCGUAGCAUGUAGCCGCAUUAUGGUGUGACGUGAGCGUUGGACGUAAGCGUAGUAGCCAUAUUUGAGUGUUUAAUUCAUAUAGGGGGUAUGGACACAUAUUUAUACACCCGUCUGUCCACCUUGAUGGCGUAGUGUAGCACCGCAUUAAGGCGUGACGUGAGCGUUGGACGCGAGCGUAGUAGCCCUAUAUAGACCCAUGAAUUUAUAUAGGGAGUAUGGACGAGUGUAAAUACAUACAUAUAUUAUAGAGUCUAAGAGGCUCGAUAUUUUAUGGGAUAAAAGUUUUAUCGCUUGCGGCAUGCAUUCGAUUUUUCCUUAGAAAUUAAUUUGGGGAAACAUAAAUAUUUUAUUUAUUAUUUUAUUUUUGUCCACUCACUCUAACGUUAUUAAAUGUUUUCCCCUGGGCCCUUCGUUUUAAAUUGCCCAGUCUGCAGAGUUCGGGUUGGAUCUAGUAGGAGACGAGGCAUAGUCACCCGCAUUUCUGCCAGUUUUCGCCAGUAGGUUACCUGUUCAACCUACUCGUGUUUUCUUGCUUCCGCUUGUGUUUAGUAGCUCUGAAUACUUUAGAAUUUUUGUAUAGUAUGCGAUGUUCAGAAGUGAUAAAUUAAGAGUGUAAUUUGAAAUUUUCGAGUUAGGGUUGUCCAUCUGCAAGGGAGAUUUUCUUAAUCUUUUCAGUAAAUUUUCCUUGGAGGUGGUCCCCGCACGACUUACUCUGGGUUUCAGGGUGAAAUUCGGGGUGGGUCGUGUCAUCGGAGCUAUUUUUAAUAAUAUUUGGAAGUUGGUAUUAUCCAGAAAUUUAUUAAAAAUAAUAUUCUAAGUCGGUUUAAUCUCAGCCGUUAGAUUGGGAAUACAUAUACGUUUGGGUUAGAUUGUAAAACAGAAGAACCGAGCUUGGACCGACUCGGUCUCGAGUUGCGAUUCCUCCUCCGUCGAGCGGCUGUCUCUCGACAUCCAACCGGUGGCCAGAGCUCCAUAUCGUCGUCCCCAACAUGACUGUGUUGUUAGAUUUCCAAAACAAGCUCGGAGAAGGGAGAAUCGAGUAGAAGAAGGAUUUCUGGGUUCGCCGGUGAUCUUCGGAUUCCGGCCACGGCGGUGAGCAUGAACGGUGCUGGUAGCUUUGCCUCAACUCCCUGAACAUCGUUGUGCUAUUGGUUUUUGAAUAGAAGCCUUGAGGAGGGAGAAUCGAACCUCAAAAGUUUUUAGGGUUUUCCGGUCGUGUUCUUCAUUUUCCGGCGAGCUUCAAGUAUCAAUUCAGGUAUCAAAGUUGGUCCAUUUGUCGAACUCUACCUGUUUAUAUGCUUGAAUUCGAGUUUGAUUAAGUUUUGGAGAAGUUGGUGUUUGGGCAGACGUCAGCCGCCGUGAGUACUGCUGUGUACGGCGAUGACAGGUGGUGGUUCUUGUAGUUUCUGGUUUUUCAUAGUAUACUGAUUGUGGAGGGAUGCUUUGAUAUGUAUUUGAAUGGCAGGAGAUUGAAAAUUGGAUGAAGUGGGUUUUGGGGCAGUGUUGUUCGGUGGCGAAAAUGAUGGUUGAUAGUUCUGGGUUUGGUUUAUGUUUUGGAUGAAAUUGCAGGACAUGAUGUUGGUGUUGUAUAUGCUUGAAGUCUAGAAAUGGAAGAGUUGGGAAGUAGAGGAUUCAAGUCGAAUUGUGUUGUUGGAAUGAAGAACAGUAGUGUUCUUCUAUUCAUUGAAGUGCUUGAAUUCAAGAGUUUGAAAGUUGAUAUCGGCAAAAUAGAACAUGGGUGUCCAUAGUAGAUUUGGAGUCAAGUUGGUACUUGGAGCGCAAUUUGGAUAUGAUGACGGCAUUGAGCGUAAAGGCGAAUAAGAAUGUGGAAAUAAAUUGAAAUGAGUACAUUUGAUUCGGAAAUCAUUGGAAAAGAAAAAGGAUUCGGUACGAGGAUCGAAUGCGAGUAGCUGGAUUGCAGAAGGAUAAGGAUUUCUGAAUGUGUGUUGCAAAGUUACUAAUUUUAGCUAGUGUCAGAAGUAGCACUUGGAUUCCAGGUAGGGUCUCUCUCGGGGAACUUUUCUUUAAAUCGGUAAUUAGAUUUUAAUUGAAAUGGGUGAUUUGUGUGUCAUUGAGUGAUUAACUCUUGGUUGUUACCAUUUUCGAUAAAAGUAUGUGAUAUCGUUGAAAUAUAUGAACGAUGUUUUCGCUUAUCAGAAAAGAAUGUAUUGAAUGUUAUGAUAUGAGUAUUGAUAUUUGUUGCAUACAUUUUGCAUUGUGAGAAAUUGUGAGAUUAGUGAGAAUGGUGAUUAUGGAGAUGUGAAUGAGAUUUGAUAGAAUGGAUACAUUUUGUGUAGUUGAGUUUCCUGAUGGGUUGUCCAAGAUCCAAGGUAGCCCACACGUGCACAAAUUCAGGGAAUGUAUGCCUUUCGAUGGCAGACAUCGACAAAACGAUCUUAUCGGGUUUCGGGUUUGGAGGCCAUGAGUAUAACAAGAUGACUAACAAAAGAGGUACAAGCGGUGAGAUAUUACUGAUUGUUAGAUCAUAUAUUCGAGACAUCUGAGUCACCCCCGGUUGGUAAAAUACACGGUAUGGGACGUGUAGGCUCACAUGUCUUUGAUGUAUGGACUGAAUGCCAGUAAUCGAGGAAGUCAUUCAUUAGCAUAAAUGCAUCAAAUUUUCGUUAUAUAUUUAAAGUAUUGUUUGAUUGUUUGAUAACUUGUUUGUGCGAAGUAGUUAAGAAUAACUUAAGAAGGUUAGGCCCUACUGAGCGUAAGCUCACCCCUAUAGAGUUUUUGUUCAGGUUUGUACGAGGACACAUGUUUCUAGAAGACUAACUGUGACGUUAGCUUAAGUGUACAAGAGACGAGAAGUACUGAAGAUUAGAAGCCUCAAGACCUAUUUUGUUUUUGUAAUUGGUUUUGUUAUUUGUAAACGUUUUAUUUUCUUUUAUUUCUGGAAAAGUAGUUGAAAUUUGUAUUAUUUUUUUUACUUUUCCCGCUCACGCCUCGGGUUCGGCGUCAGGUGCUUGGAAACCACUGACACCGGGUUCGGGGUGUGACACCACACGUAUAUACACCCAUCCUCUUCGGUCAUAAUGAGGAAAAAUUUGAUUAUGGCGUGACGUGAGCGUUAGAUGCAAGACUCGUAGCCUUGUAUGAAUUUCUAUUCUUCUACUUUGUUCAUAGAAUUCAUACAAGGAGUCUGACGAGUAUAAAUACAUACAUAUAUAUAUAUAUAUAUAUAUUUAUGUAUAGUUUAGCCUGAGAGGCUCCAUUUUAUUGAGUUUUGGAGACUGGCCGGAGGUAGUCAUGUAUUUGCCAGUUUGUAAGUAAAAAGCUUUGAGCUGUUGCAUGCAGCAUAAUUUCUAUGAAAAUUAAAUUGGGAAUGCAUAAAUAUUUUUAUUGAAUUCAUUUUUGUCUACUCACUUUAACGUUUGCAAAUGUUUUCCCCUGGGCCUUUAUUUUAAAAUGCCCAGUAUGCAGGUUAGCAUAGUUGAGGUCGAGCGUACAUGGAGAAGAGGCAUAAUCAAUAGUAUAGCUUUCGCUUAUUUUUAUAUUUCUAGUUCCUUUCCUCUCAAUUAGAGUUGCUCUGAACUGUGAUUGUUGGUUGUGGGAUUAUUCUUAUUAAAGUUAGUAAAUAAAUUGGGAGAUGUUGUGUCACACCCCGGUUCUUAAGUUAUUUUACGGUUAUUUACUUUGGUAUUAUUUUAGUCUUUUACCGUGUUGAAUAACCGUUUAUUACCUAAGGACCCUAAAGUUGACUUUCUUUUCCGUUUAGAAUUUGGAGAAACUUUCUUCAUGAAAGUUGUAGAGGACGUUAAUAUGAGUUCGUAGACAUGCUAAGUGUUAAAAUCGGAGUUAGCAUGAAAAAGUUAUUAUCUAAAAGAGUAAAUUUUUGAGGUGGUAAAAGAAGGUAUUUUUUUAGUGGGUAAAAUUUAUUGGGUUUAAGGGUUAUGGAUUGGCUGUGAGCAGCCCAUAUCCUCCUUCACUCUCUCUCUUUCUCCCUUCCCUCUUUUCCCCGAGCUCCCCGAGCCCCUCUCCGCCGGAAGCUCCCAGCCACCAGCUGCCAUCGUCCGGCCAGCGUUCGGCUGCUGCUCCAGCCCAGUUCGGACCCCCAUCUCCUCCUCUCCCUCCCCGGCCUAGCCCCCGAGCCUCUAACCCGCCGGAAGAGGAGAAAACCCGCCGGAGACGCCGGGAAGCAUUUCGCCGAAAAUCCCAUUUCCGGCCACCAAAACUUGCAAUUCUUAGCUCAUUUUGUAGCUCUCAUCAAGGUGAGUAUCCCCUCAAAAGGAAUAAAUCUUUCUCGUUGUGGUUACGGAGAAAUGUAUAAUUGAAGUUUUAGGGAUUUUUGAUGUUUUUAGUCGAUUACCCUAGUUAGCCUGAGAAUUGGACUAAGUGCUAGUUAGGAAAGUUGUUGUGCUUGAUAAGAGGAUUAUUCUGUUAAACUUUGGUAGAAAUUGGAGGUCGCCGGAAUCGGCCUCCGGCCGUCGCUGCCGGCCGAGCCGGCGCCGGCGCAGGAGCUGUUUGGGAGAUUUUAAUGUUUUUAGAUUUGGAAUAUUAAGGGGAGUUUAUUGAAGUGAGUUAUGGAAGUUUUGGAUAGGUUUGUGAAUUUCCGAAGUUUGGUAAUUUUGGCAGUUAAUUAAUAUAGAAUCCGGCCGUAGGAUUUAAGUCGUAUUUUGUGGGAAGUUGUUUUUACGGCUGCCGGUAUGUUCGGUGAAGUUUGAACCGUAUUGAGUUAAGAAUGGCGAAUUUGGGCAAUGAUGAGUGUGUGGGAGGCUCACGUUUAAUUUUGCCCAUUUUGUUCAAUUAUUGGAUUUUUGGUGGGAAAUUAAUUAUAUAUUUGGAACAGGACGAGAGGAGGCCCGAGCAGAGGAAGCCUCGGAGCGUCAUCAGGCUUAGGCCUAAGUUGUGAGUGGACCUUUAUUUUAAUUGAAAAGCAUGCGAUGAAUUAUCUGUUGAUCAUUUAUGUCUUUUCCUGAGAUUUAUUUAUUUCUCGGAUAUUUGGCAAUUUUCCUCCUUUGGAGAGAUCCCGAAAAUGAGAUUUUCGGUGGAUAUGUUUAUUGGAUGUUUAUGAUGAUAGUAUGUAUAUAUAAAUGCUAGCUAGCCAUACGUGUUUGAUCCGCCAUAAUGAGGUAAAAUACCAUUAUGGUGUGACGUGAGUGUUAGACACAAGCGUAGUAGCCCUAUAUGAAAAAUAUUUUCUUAUUUGGUUUAUUUAAGUUUUCAUAUAGGGAGUCCACACGUAUAUACACUCGUGCUUUUUCCGCCACACUGAGGUACAAUUCUAUUAUGGUGUGACGUGAGCCUUAGACGCAAGCGUAGUAGCCUUGUAUGAAUUUCUAUUUUUCUAAUUUGUUCUUAGAAUUCAUACAAGGAGUCUGACGAGUGUAAAUACAUACACUUAUAUAUGUUUAUAUAUACUUUAGCCUGAGAGGCUGUAUUUUAUUAAGUUUUGGAGACUAGCCGGUGCUGGUCGUGAAGUUGUCAGUUUUUGAGUUGAGCGCUUUUGAGUGAUUGCAUGCAGUAUUAUUUUAUUUGGAAAUUAAAUUGGGGAAGCAUAAAGAAAUACUUUUAUUUUAAUUUAUUUUUGUCUACUCACUCUAACUGUUCCACAUGUUUUCCCCUGGGCUCUUCGUUUUAAAUUGCCCAGUCUGCAGAGUUCGGGUUGGAUCUAGUAGGAGGCGAGGCAUAGUCACCCGCAUUUCCGCCCGUUUUCAUCAGUAGGUUACAUGUUUAACCUACUCGUGUUUUCUUGCUUCUGCUAGUGUCUAGUAGCUCUGAAUACUUUGGGAUUAUUGUAUUUUAUGUUUAGAAUUUCUGAAGGUUAAUUAUGUGAUGUUUGGACGUGUUGUAUUAAUAGUGUAUUUUGGAAUUUUCGAGUUAGGGUUGUCCAUUUUCAAGGGAGAUUUUAUCAAUCUUUUCAGUAAAUUUUCCUUGGAGGUGGUCCCCGCACGACUUACUCCGGGUUUCAGGGUGAAAUUCGGGGUGGGUCGUGUCAUGUUGUGAUGUGGGCAGCACGAAGGCUCUAGGAGUAGAAGGUUGUAGAUGGAUUUUUUUGAAGUGUAUGCAUGUAUUAUUAGGAAGGGUUGUCUAUUUUCAAGGGAGGUUAUACCGAAUUUUUUCGGUAAUAUUUUUUUUGGAGGUGGUCCCCGCAGGAUUUACUUCAGGUUUCAGGGUGAAAUUCAGGGUGGGUCUUGACACAGAAGCUGAAGAUACUAGGAGCUGAAAAUACUUACCUGUCUUCCGUACCGUCUCUCCCAAACAGGGCCAAACAAACUAGAUGGCAAAUCCACAACCCAACCUCUGCCGCUCAGAUUGGGCCUGACACGAAGUACGUUCUCGCCCAUCCAACGACACCGCCUCAAGGAUGUGUCGUCGAACUGGGCAUGCACUAUGAACAAGGGGCUGCUAGAUAGGGUUUUGAAGAGAAAAGUCUCUUUGUUUUAUCAAUUCUUGUUAAAAUUUGUAGCCCUGAUUUGAUGUCAACAGGUGAAAUCAAUCCUAAAAAUUAAUCAAAUAGUAAUUAAUCAGAGAUCUCCAAUGACCUAAUGUAUGGAUUUGUUACUAAGACAAUUGCGGUAACAAAAUUUGGGUACAAGGUUGGUUGUAACAGCUUGGAAACAGUCCCGCAUUGAUCAAAAAGAACAAAUUGUUUUUUUUAUGGAAGGGCCCUUACGACCAAUUUCAUUGAUCAAAAGCCAAAAUGGCGCGGAUACAUGCUUUCCCUUGCCAAACGUUUGGGAAAGUUAAUGACUUGACAUGGCAUGCUAGUACCAUUCAUUACAAAUUCCACUCACUUAAUUCGAUACAGAAAAGAAAAAAGUGAACCUAAUUAGACCAUGAAACAAAUCACAACAAUUAGGCACACACACAAAAUGCUUAGACUCCUAAAAAAGGAAUUAUUGUAAAUAGACAAGCUACAUACUUAGAAAAUGAGCUAAGGCAUGAACCCUAGCCCAAAUCUAGGCCCAAGCAACUCCAAAAUGGCCCAACCCAAAGCUCGAACAAGGGAGACCCAUGCCUGCAUCCACCACACCCUUUGCCGUCACUACUUCCCAAAGCAUCUUUGAAUCCUUCGUCCACGCCAUCGCCAUCCGAAACGAGUCAGAUCCACCAUGACCCUUACCACACAUGACAACAGCCAUGAUACCAUCAAUUUGCACCGAUCCAACAAGCUUCGCUGUCGACAAUAGAUAGCAAAAAAAUUCUGACGAAAACACGCCGUCGCAAUGCUCAGAUGAAAACAUGCCGCCGCAGGACUCAAAGCCAACAAGCCCCGAUCCCUUCGCUCAAAACUUCAAGCCAAAAAAACCAUGAAGAAACUACUUGGCAACUUGUAGAUCCCGUCCGACGGUCUCUACUCGGAGUCAUCAAAGCCCAAAGGCCAGCCUCUAACCGAGUUCGGCCACCGGAUGAGAUGGAGAUUUGGGUGUGGGAGUCGAGUGUCUUUCGGUUAUGUGUCUUGACCUAAUCGUUUCUUUAUUAUAAUAGAUUACAACAAAAUAACAAAAUGACAUGACAUGGACAAAGAAAAACGUGGUGUUAUAAGAAGUACAACACGAACAAUCAUAGAAAGUGCCAUAUAAGUUGAAGAAGCGGAGACACCAAUGCAAAGAGGAGUUAGCUACACUUCACUAGACUACAGAUUACAGAAUAAAUACAUAGAGCGAGGGAGUGUGUGAGGAAGAAAAGGGAUCAUGUUCCAUUGCCAGCCAAUCGUUCAUAAAUAUACGUCCCCCAUCUUUGUAAUUACCCAAAAAGCCCACUUCAAAGCUGGCACACCCAAACCUCAAAAACUUAAAUAAAAAAUAAUAAUAAUAAAAAGAAAAUAGAAACGGGAUGUUGUGGACUGUAGGAGCACUCUGCACUCCUAUUGAAGAAGCACCGCCCAAUUACUAAACUAGCAGCAUUUUUUCAGUCUUAGACCUAUUUUUGAAAGAUAAUAGUAAUUAAAAAUAAAUAGAAUAAUAGUUUUGGGAUUUGAGUAGUGCCCCCAGAUUAUGUAUUACAGAAAACAACCAAAUGGAGUGGCGCCCAUGUUCUAGUCAAUAUCAAAAUUCCCCACUUGGUCAAUCACCAAACCCCCGCUCUCUCUCCACUGCCCUACUCCCCUCGUCCCCUCACUAUCUUUAAGAUCAUAGCAAUCCCACAUCACAUAUCAACAUGCUUAACUGAUUUCUGAAAUUCUAGGGUUAUAAAAAAGUAACCCAACAUUUUUCUAUUUAACCCUUUCCCAAAAAAAUCAACUCUAAACUUUGAUUGAUCGUAACUUUAUCGUACGACAUCCGUUUUACGCGUGCCACAUGUCUACGAACUCGUAUCGCCGUGCUCUACAAAUUCCGUGAAAGAAGUUUCUUGAGAAACCCAAUGAAUAAAAAGUCAACUAAAAAGUCAACCAAAUAAAAUAAAUAAAUAAUAAUAGAAACUAGUAUCUAAAUUCCGGGGUAUUACAUGUACUCUUGGUUUACCUUAUGUGAUGUUGGGUUGAGUCCGUUAAUGUAGAUUUACUCAUACGACCUGUUAAAGCUUACCGGGUUUGUUGUUUAUAACCCGGUGCACUAAUUCAUGAUGUAGGGGUUAUACCUGCAAGUGAUGAUCAGCAGGGUUGAGGCGGAGGCAU